GCCAAACGAGGCGGUCAACUUGGCUCAAGCCCCUCACUCGACUCUAUCGCUAUUAUUGGCCAGAUCAAGCGCGAACUCCCCCCCUUUUUGUUUUUUUUUGUUUUUUUCGAGUUUGCGAGUUUUUCACCAAAAAAAUCAAAAGAAAUGACAAUUUAUGGACUGUUAGUGCAGAUCAUAAUUAUUUGUAAUUAAAAGCUAAAGAGUCCCCAUCCCAGAGUCCCCACCAAGCAGCAGAAACAUGGCUCCGCCCCAAGAACAACAGGAGGAUGAUUUUAUCACCAAGAUACCCUCGAUAAUUGGAUUCCUGAACUUGGACUGACGACAAAAAUCUACGAAAAUAUCAUUGAAGAAUGAAGAAUUCAGAGAGCCAAGGCUGAAGCCAUGAAUCAUGAGAAUUAUAGCUGAAAACAACGAUCUUUUUAAUCAAAAAUGAAUAAGAAAUAAAUCAAUCAAUAAAUGAGAAAUGUGAAAAGAA
This 475-nucleotide small RNA is filed under the name Drosophila ananassae. RNAcentral describes it as "GF27378". The record is from RNAcentral. Lineage: Eukaryota; Metazoa; Arthropoda; Insecta; Diptera; Drosophilidae.